Sinocyclocheilus grahami is the source of this 479-nucleotide long non-coding RNA. RefSeq lists it as uncharacterized. The record is from RefSeq and is a predicted model, not a curated record. Lineage: Eukaryota; Metazoa; Chordata; Actinopteri; Cypriniformes; Cyprinidae. The transcript has 3 exons.
UGGCGUCGCCGCGCGCUCCUCUCUGCGUUCUCCGAUCAUCGUUUAUCAUCUCACGGUUUAUGGACGACGAGGACCAGAUAUUAUGAUAGCACAUUGUCGGGGUUGGUUCUACAACAUUUUCGCCAAAGUGUUCUGUGGAAACCGCUUGAGCUCCGAACCGAGCCGUGAGAGAUAAGAAAAGAAGUUUGCCGGAUACAGGUGCGAUCUCUCUCUAACUCCAGCUGAUGAUCACAGACACAGAUCUGGACUGCCGGAUUCCAGUAGAUCAUAUCAGAUCUCGCGCAAGAUGAAGUCUGCCGGAGCUGGUGAUGAAGGACUCUUCACGGAGAGCUACUGUAACAUCUGCAACGCUCAGCUGAUCUCUGAGUCUCAGCGCGUGGCACACUAUGAGAGCAAGAAACACGCCAACAAAGUGCGUCUGUUCUACAUGCUCCACCCAGAAGAUGGAGGUCCACCAUCCAAAAGACUGAGACCAGACA